RNAcentral lists this ribosomal RNA (255 nucleotides) under uncultured bacterium. RNAcentral's name for it is "partial 16S ribosomal RNA". It matches the Rfam family "Bacterial small subunit ribosomal RNA", at positions 524 to 776 of the family's 1533-position model. The record is from RNAcentral.
UACGUAGGGUGCAAGCGUUUGUCCGGAAUUAUUGGGCGUAAAGAGCUCGUAGGUGGCCUGUCGCGUCGGCUGUGAAAACUCGGGGGCUCAACUCCGAGCUUGCAGUCGAUACGGGCAGGCUAGAGUUCGGCAGGGGAGACUGGAAUUCCUGGUGUAGCGGUGAAAUGCGCAGAUAUCAGGAGGAACACCGGUGGCGAAGGCGGGUCUCUGGGCCGAUACUGACACUGAGGAGCGAAAGCGUGGGGAGCGAACAGG